Non-coding RNA from Microcebus murinus (gray mouse lemur), 5571 nucleotides. NCBI's taxonomy places the organism in Eukaryota, Metazoa, Chordata, Mammalia, Primates, Cheirogaleidae. The record is from RefSeq and is a predicted model, not a curated record.
CAGGAAAGGGAAAGGAAUAAAGGGCAUACAAAUCAGAAAAGAAAGAGAUCAAACUAUGCCUGUUUGCAGGUCAUAUGACUCUCAUGUUGUAAAAUGAAUGUUAAAACAUCAAGACCAUUACAUACACAAAUAACUGCCAAGCUGAGAAUCAAAUCAAGAACUUGGUGCCAUUUACAAUGGCUAUGAAAGCAAAUAAAAUACCAAAGAAUAUGCUUAACCAAGAAGGUCAAUCAUACCUCCAAGACGAACUGCAAAACACUGAUGAAAGAAAUUGUAGAAGAUGCCAAUGAAUGGAACAAUAUCCCAUGAUCAUAAAUUGGAAUAAUCAAUAUUGCAAACAUGACCAUACUGCCCACAGCAGUCCACAGAUUCAAUAGUGUUGGGGACUGACAUGAUCCUUUCCUGGUUUAAGAAUUAAAUUUAGUGAGUAAUGUACGAGCUCUGCCCAGAGCGUUUGAGAGUAAUGUGUUCCGGACAAGGUCCCUGUGACAAACAAGGUUACUCCCUAGAGGCAUAACAAAGAACCUGAGUUUCUGCAAGUAAGCAAGGGCUGCCCAGCCCCGCAGCAGUGGGGGACUGGAGGCCACACGAUAAGCACAUUGUUCCUGUGUUGCUGCUUUGCCGCAUAAGAUGGCUGGUUAGUCAAUGAUGGGUAAGAUCCCUCAAGGGAGGGAACCAUGGCUGCCUUGCCCAACCUUGCAAAUCUUGGUCAGUGAUCUCCUGGCACCUAGAGCAACCACCUGGAAACCUUGAGUCAGGGGACAUGUGUCCUUAAGGCUACGUGUUCUGGAAUUUAUGGCCACUGCUGUAAUGCUUGGGUGGUCACAUACAGGGAACUAACAUUAACUUUUCAGAGUAUAAAAAUAAACUGACCCAGUGCAUUCAGCACUUGAGUCAUGUAACUGUUUUUGUGUGUGUCUGUGUCUUUCUUUUUGUCUUUCUUUUAUGUUCUGUGUUCAUCCUCUGUCCUGUAAACAGGCCACAGCACAAUAGCAUUCCUAUUAAAACACCCUAGUCAUUCUCCAAAAACUGGGGGAAAAAAUCCUAUUUUUCUUAUGGAGGCAAAAUCAACCCCAAAUACUCAAAGCAACCCUAAAUACAACAAACAAGUGUGGAGGCAUCACUUUACCUGACUUCAAAUUAUCCUAUAAACUGUAGUAAACAAAACAGGAGAGUAAUAUAUAAAAUUAAACACACAAUGAGUAGAACAGAAUAGAGAAAGUAUAAAAGCAGAAAUAUAUACCUACAAGCAGCAGAUCGUCCAGAAUGCAGUAGAAAAUACAGACUGUGGGAAAGAAUUCCCUGUUCAAUACGCAGUGCCAGAGGAGGCUGUGGGGCUUCAGAGAGCUGCACAGGCUGCGCAUCCUGUGCUUGGUGGAGAUGCCCAACUGGGGAACUCACCCAGAGGACAGCGCCAUGCUAGUUUCCACAGACGAGUUGACCCAUACAAAGAGGAUGUAAGCAACAAGAUAAAGAACACAAAAUUGUUGUGGAUGAGCUGUCUAACCUGAAGAAGAAUAGGAAAGUAUAUAAGCAGCAACAGAACAGCAACAUAUUCUUUCUUACAGACUGAACAGAAAUGCUUUCCCAAAGCAAAAACACAAUAGAUGAACUGAAAAAAGAAUACCAAGAAAUAAAAAUCUCAGAGAAGACCAAAAUCAAGAAGUAAUCAACCUGAUAUCAUGUAACAAUGUGUGGUAUUUUUUGUUCUCUAAGCUUUCCAUUGAUAAUUUCAGUAAAGAUUUAAAAGAGGAUUUACUGUAUAAUCUAAGUGAUGGGGACCAGUAGUAGUAAACAACUGUUAAAGUCUGAUGUUCACUACCAGUGUUUAUUUUCUGGCCACGUCCUUCACUUGAGAGGUGUUAUGACUGCCCAGCCCCUGGAAGAUGAAAGAGGCAAUGUGUUCCUUUGGAAUGGAGAAGUCUUUAGUGGAAUAAAGUUUGAAGCUGAAGAGAAUGAUACUCAAAUUAUGUUUAAUUAUCUUUCCUCUUUUAAGAAUGAAUCUGACAUUUUGUCACUCUUCUCAAAAGUCCAAGGUCCUUGGUCUUUUAUAUAUUAUCAAGCAUUUACUCCUUAUUUAUGGUUUGGUAGGGAUUAUUUUGGUCGCCACAGCUUGAAUGGCAUUUUAGUAAAUUGGGCAAGAGUUUCUGCCUCUCUUCAGUUAGUACCCAAACAUCAGGAAUGGCAAAUCAGUGGCAAGAAGUUCCAGUAUCUGGAGUUUUCAGAAUUGAUCUUAAGUCUCCUACCAUUUCCAGAUAUGUGAUAUUAAAAUUGUAUCCUUGGAAAUAUAUUUCUAGGGAGAAUAUUGUUGAAGAAUGUGUUAAUAGCCUGACUCAGAUGUCAGCAGACUUACCAGCAUUUGUAUCAGUGGUAGCAAAUGAAGCCAAACUAUAUCUUGAAAAACCUACUAUCCCUUUAAAUAUGUUGUUGCCACAAGCUCCAUCAGAGACUCAUUGCAGUAAUAUUUCCAGCAUCCCAACUACAAGAGAGACACUUCAGGUCUUUCUUGCUGGUGGACACAUAGAGGAAGUAGUUCAGCACCUUACUGAUGUCCUGAGUGUUGCAGUCAAGAGACGUGUCUUGUGUUUACCUAGGGAUGAAAACCUGGCACCAAAUGAAGUUUUGCAAACUUGUGAAAGGAAAGCAAAUGUUGCAAUCCUGUUUUCUGGGGACAUUGAUUCCAUGGUUAUUGCAACCUUUGGUGACCAUCAUAUUCCCUAGAUGAACUAAUUUUCUUACUGUAGCUUUCAUGACUGGAGAAAAGACCAUACCAACCAGCUUUAACAAAAAAAUGAGUAAACAGAAAAAUCAUUGUGAAAUGCCUUCUGAAGAAUUCUCUAAAAAUGUUGCUGACAGUGAUGGUGACCGUCCUGAUAAACAAUUCAAUGUACCAGAUCAAAUUACAGGAAGAGCAGGACUAAAAUAACUACAAGUUAUUAACCCUUCCUGAAUUUGGAAUUUUGUUGAAAUCAACGUUUCUUUGGAAGCACCGCAGAUUAAGAACAAAAAUAUGUCACUUGAUUCAGCCCUUGGAUACAGUUUUGGAUGAUAGCAUUGGCUGUGCAGUCUGGUUUGCUUCUAGAGGAAUUGGUUGGUUAGUGACCCAGGGUGAAGUGAAAUCAUAUCAGAGCAGUUCAAAGUUAGUUCUCACUGGACUUGGUGCAGAUGAGCAACUGGCAGGUUAUUCUCAUCAUCAUGUCUGCUUUCAGACACAUGGGCUGGAAGGAUUGAGUAAGGAAAUCAGGAAGGAACUGGGGUGAAUUUCUUCUAGAAAUCUUUGUCAUGAUGUAAAAGUUAUUGGUGAUCAUGGAAAAGAAGGAAGAUUUCCUUUCCUGGAUGAAAAUGUUGUCUCCUUUCUAAAUUCCCUACCAGUUUGGGAAAAGGCAAACUUGCCUUUACCCUGUGGAAUUGGCAAAAAACUAAUUUUAUGCCUUGCAGCUGUCGAACUUGGUCUUACUGCCUCUACUCUUCUGCCAAAAAGGGCCACGCAAUUUGGAUCAAGAAUUGCAAAGAUAGAAAAGAAUAAUGAAAAGACAUCUGAUAAACGUGAAAGGCUCCAAGUCAUUUCCUGAUAAAAUCUAUCUAUUGAAAAGUAGAUUAAAUCAUAAUAUGAUUUCACAAUGUAACAAUACUGAAUGACACUUACAUAAAAAUAAAAUACUUUGCUGUUUAAAAAAAAUACACAGUACCAGGAAAAUUAGAUCUACACACAUAAGAAUGAAACAGGAUCCAUAUCUGUUACCAAAUAUAUAAAGGCAUGAUAAGUCACAAAAUUACAAGUAAGAACUACCAUAAUAAAGUUCAACCAAAAACAAAUAAAUAAAUAGGAAAAAUGCUUCCAGACAUUGGGAUAGCCAAAUCUCCAGAGUUUCAUUGGCAUGGCAGCAGGAACAGCCAAAAGACAAGGAUGGCCACGCUGAAGAAAAGGUGUGGGGAGUAGCGGGCAGGCCGGGCUGGAUCAGGAUCCUGCCUCAGGCCGGCCUGCUGGGCGUGCGUGUGAGUCUCCCAGAACGUUGUGGUCACAGGGACCCGGACAGCUGGACUACUCGUGUACCCGCGGGUGGCUGUGAUCCCGGGGUCUUCGUGGGAAGGAGCAGAACCCUGCAGCCGUAGGAAGUGCGCAUGGGUCCACCUGUGUGCUUCCGUGUCUCUGUGCGAGCUCGGUAUAUCUGUUGAGCGUUUCUCUGUGUGCGAGGGUGUCUGUGCCUGGGGCUCGUUGCCGUGUGUCUUCUGGUGGGAGGGCGUGUCUCUGCCCUGCAGCGGGGCUGCUUCCGGUCGGAUUUCCUUCCGGUGAGCCCUCCCUGCGCUCGCGUCUGCGCUGUGUGUGGGGAUGAAUUUCUCUUCUUAGGGCUUCCCUGUGGCUUCGUUCAUGGCUGGCUGAGCUGGCGGCUGCCUCAGCCCGGCAGGGGUAGGAAUAGCCUCCUCCUCCUGAGGGGCCACUUUCCCAGUGGAGGGGACAACACGACAGCAGCAAGAGAAACCUCAGGAGGAGCUCAUUCCCCAACUGCCAGCAGGUGCAGGCAGGUGUCAGGGAAGGUGAUCCUGAGUGCAUUUCCAUUGUCCCCUGGUGGUCACGUAGGACCUCAGCGUGGCCCAGUGACUGAGCAGCACACAAGGUGGGCACAGUGUCUUUCCCCCAACGGGGGACUCUCUGGCUCCCUCGACCAAGUGCGCACUCUUUGCCGCCCUCAGAUGGCAGUUGCGAGGCAUUGCUGUUGUGUGCGCUCCAGCCUGGCCACGUGCUCCAUCUUUUGGGGUUCUCCACCUUUCUAUGGGCCUAGACGGUUUUAUCUCUCGGUCCAUCUUUUCAAGGACAGACUUUCCAGAGUUCAUCCCGGGUAACAUUCUUGGGGAUCCUUCGCACAGAGGUUUCCUCCUGAACGAAUCGUCUUUAGUGCUGGAAAGCCUUGAUUAAUCUACAGAGCUGGGCUUCCAUCCCUUCUGCCAACAGGGCGACCUCUGUCCCAAUGCCCAAUCAGAAGGCUGCGUGAUUCACACAGGACCAGGUGCAGCACUGUAUGGCCUUUGCCUUCCAGUAAACAAGGUGUUGUUUGCACCUGCACUUUCCUUCUCCUUCGUGGGGGAUAUGCACUUGCUGUGAGUAUCCCGUGUGCCUUGUGGAGGGUGCCUAGGGGGUUGCUGCUUGAAAGCCUGGAAACUGCUUGCCACAGCUUUCCCAGAGAGGAAGGGACCAGGUAUUGUGUUGGUGCAGGAAGGGUGCCGGGUGGUGCUCCACCUGCGGGCUGCACUUUAGAAACCUCUUUUGUCUUCUUGCAAGACCCCUCCCAAUUUCCCGCGAAUCCACCAGAGGGCGCUCGAGGUCUAAGAUGUGCUUUGCUUUCCUUCUGUCUCUUGGAGUCUUCAGUGCCCCGGGAAGCUGCCCAUGUCCUCAUUGUCAGUCUUGAAAGAGCCUAAUCCUGCUCGACUGCAUUUGCCCUGCUGAGAUCCACUUCCCAUGUGGCCCAUCUGUGCUCGCCUCCGCUUCGUUUUUUGAGCUGGCCUGCUUCGCGUAUUUCCGCCUUUCUGCAUAAGCAGUGGAAACUGAAAGGCCCUGGGCUUUGAGACCAGCGC